Molecule: ribosomal RNA, 376 nt
Filed under: uncultured bacterium
Lineage: Bacteria
Description: bacterial SSU rRNA
Rfam family: Bacterial small subunit ribosomal RNA
Source: RNAcentral
UACGUAGGUGGCAAGCGUUACUCGGAAUUACUAGGCGUAAAGCGCAGGUAGGCGGUUUGGCAAGUCCGUAAUGAAAUCUCCCGGCUUAACUGGGAGGGGUUUAGGGAUACUGCCAGGCUCGAGUGUGGUAGAGGUAACUGGAAUUCCCGGUGUAGCGGUGAAAUGCGUAGAGAUCGGGAGGAACACCUAUGGCGAAAGCAGGUUACUGGACCAAUACUGACGCUGAGCUGCGAAAGCUAGGGGAGCAAACAGGAUUAGAUACCCUGGUAGUCCUAGCCAUAAACGAUGUAGACCAGAGGUGGGGGGUAUCGACCCCCUCCGCCCCGAACUUAACGGAUUAAGUCUACCGCCUGGGGAGUACGGCCGCAAGGUUGAA